This is a non-coding RNA of Durio zibethinus, 963 nucleotides long. The record is from RefSeq and is a predicted model, not a curated record. NCBI's taxonomy places the organism in Eukaryota, Viridiplantae, Streptophyta, Magnoliopsida, Malvales, Malvaceae.
AAUAAAUACUAUUAUCUAAAUAAUACAUAGAUGAAAGUCUCCGUAAUUGUACUGUAGUUGACACGUGUUCAAAUUUAAUUCCUUGACACCUUUUUUUUACAAAUUUUAGAAUUUAAGAAAAAAUUUGCUUGGCCAUGGAUAAGAUUCAAGCGUACAAAGCAGAUUUUGAAUUCCUAGCGUUGCAAUUUAACAAAAAAUUAAAACUGAAGCUUCCCGAAAGCUUCUUUAGGCAAACGGCACUGAAAAAAGGAAGAAAUAGAAGGGGAAGGGGAAGGGAAAAGGGAUCCAUGAGAAAGAGAAGUAGGAGACGGAAAAGAGGAAGGAAUCACUGCCAACGAAAACUGCGAUCGACGAUGAAGAAACGAAUGGUGAGGCAGCGAGAAAGGGACAUUUGACCACUUGCCUUUUAUUACGGGUCAAGUCCAGAAUCUGUCUCCUCACUCUCAUGAUUGAAUUGAUGUCAUGAAGCUAGUCAACGGUAUACUUGUGAAUUUUUAGCCUUGCAGAAAUUGGCUUAAUGUAGCAAAGCAUGAGAAUAACUUCACAUUAUGCUUAAUGCUUGCAUCAUCUUUCUUUUUAUUUUGUAAGAUGUAAAUAAAGUUGUUUGGCUGCUUAUGAAAUUGGGAGAGAAAAAGCAAAAAAAAAGCAGAAACAAAAGGUAUGUAACAAAGCAUGUGGAAAGUCUUGACUGCUUAAUUUUAAAAUAGCUUGUUACGUUUUAUAGUUUGAAAAUUUAACAGAGCUAAUUUCCAACAUGUGAGUAUGGAACAUAGCUCGCUCGUUUUAUGGCACUAUAGGUUGUUAGUGUUCGUUCUUUAUUGUUAAUUACUAUGUUGUAACUGUUUAGAUGUCACAAACUCAAGUUAACAGCAUGAAGGCUUGAUAAGUCUGUCUUAAUAAGGUUUUCAUUUGUAUGUAACUAGCUGUUCUGGAAAUUCUGGUUGUGACUACUUUCUUUUGUUG